This 425-nucleotide ribosomal RNA is filed under the name uncultured bacterium. Its description in RNAcentral is "partial 16S ribosomal RNA". It matches the Rfam family "Bacterial small subunit ribosomal RNA", at positions 354 to 796 of the family's 1533-position model. The record is from RNAcentral.
GUGGGGAAUCUUGCGCAAUGGACGAAAGCCUGACGCAGCCAUGCCGCGUGAAUGAUGAAGGUCUUAGGAUUGUAAAAUUCUUUCACCGGGGACGAUAAUGACGGUACCCGGAGAAGAAGCUCCGGCUAACUUCGUGCCAGCAGCCGCGGUAAUACGAAGGGGGCUAGCGUUGCUCGGAAUUACUGGGCGUAAAGGGCGCGUAGGCGGACAGCUUAGUCAGAGGUGAAAGCCCAGGGCUCAACCUUGGAAUUGCCUUUGAUACUGGCUGUCUUGAGUUUGGGAGAGGUGAGUGGAACUCCGAGUGUAGAGGUGAAAUUCGUAGAUAUUCGGAAGAACACCAGUGGCGAAGGCGACUCACUGGCCCAAUACUGACGCUGAGGCGCGAAAGCGUGGGGAGCAAACAGGAUUAGAAACCCCGGUAGUCC